Molecule: ribosomal RNA, 252 nt
Filed under: uncultured bacterium
Lineage: Bacteria
Description: partial 16S ribosomal RNA
Rfam family: Bacterial small subunit ribosomal RNA
Source: RNAcentral
UACGUAGGUCCCGAGCGUUGUCCGGAUUUAUUGGGCGUAAAGCGAGCGCAGGUGGUUUAUUAAGUCUGGUGUAAAAGGCAGUGGCUCAACCAUUGUAUGCAUUGGAAACUGGUAGACUUGAGUGCAGGAGAGAAGAGUGGAAUUCCAUGUGUAGCGGUGAAAUGCGUAGAUAUAUGGAGGAACACCGGUGGCGAAAGCGGCUCUCUGGCCUGUAACUGACACUGAGGCUCGAAAGCGUGGGGAGCAAACAGG